UUGACUUUAACUUUCUGUUUCAUCUUAAUUCUGAAAUAAUAACAUACUCCUUGGAUAGAUCACUUUUGAUCUUGUGUUGAAGGUGUUGAUACUUCAAAGUUGUGCUUGACAAAGCUUUGGUCUUGAACUUGGUUGAAGUCUAUUGUACAUAAAAUACAGAUUUCUGUUAUACUCGAAAACAUUGAAAAUAACAAGAAGUUGAUAGAAAAGCUAUAAACUGUUCUAGUUAAUGUUAGUGAUAAAGAAGACUUAGUUAAACAACAUGCUAAAGUGGCAGAAGAAGUUGUUUCAGGUAUCUUCCAUCAUGCCAUUUCUAAGAAAUAGUAUCCAGACAAUAUUCAUCCCUUUUGUUGUACAUGAAUUACAUGUGGAAAUAAUAUUUUGAAACGUAUUCUGAUAAAUCAUUCAUUUUUUUCUCUUGAUUAGUUCUAAGUUCUUUUCAUAACACUUGGUAGGUUGGAAAAAGGAAGAAAAUGAGGCUAUAGUUCUAUACCAGCAAUUUGCGUCAGCUGUUACCAAAACUUGACUUCGGAUGUUUGCGGCAAUCAUCUUUAUAAUGCUCUCAAGGAAUGUGUCAGGAAGUUGAGACAAGCUUGA
RNAcentral lists this long non-coding RNA (597 nucleotides) under Capsicum annuum. Its description in RNAcentral is "long non-coding RNA (CANN_LNC006806)". Lineage: Eukaryota; Viridiplantae; Streptophyta; Magnoliopsida; Solanales; Solanaceae. The record is from RNAcentral.